This 1160-nucleotide long non-coding RNA is filed under the name Homo sapiens (human). RNAcentral's name for it is "HSALNT0304964". The record is from RNAcentral. Lineage: Eukaryota; Metazoa; Chordata; Mammalia; Primates; Hominidae.
CCCCUUGCCCUUCCGAGGAAGCGAAAACUCUACCCUCCAGUUAUCAACUGUCCCUCAAGAUUUGUGAGCCGUAAGAAACAAGUACUAGACCCCUAGAAAGGGUGCCAGUCACGUGGACCUGGGCACCAGAGGCCCGGCUGCUCAGGACUGACCGGCUGACCCACUCAGCAGAUCUCCCGGCCAGCCACUUUGCCUGACCCCCACGACCCAAGAUAGCCUGGCUCCAGCUCUGGCCCCUCCUCAGCUGUAUCUCACCUCUUCCCCGCACUGGGCAUUACUGUGAACUCUAAUAUCACGGUAAUCUAAAGGCGUCCCAGGUCUACAGCACUGCAGUCCAGGGUAGCUGGAAGCUGCAUUCAUGACGAGGUGAUCGACCGGAACACGAUACUCAUUUCCCAGGACACUCCUUUUUUUGUUGUGGCUGGAGGAAAAUGAGUUAUAACCUAAGUGGAAAAUGUUCCUUCCUUUCUGCUCCCUAAUUCUCAUAUACCUUGUUGAUUCUCCUUUUAAAUACUCAAGGAAAUGUUAGCCGUUCCCUUCCAGAGGCUACUUUGCUGGGGAGAUGAUGGUGUGGUCUGCUGUCGUGAGCUCCUAGAGGCUGCCUGCAUUUCUUAGCUCCUGGCCCCUUCGUCUGUCUUCAAAAUGCAUCACUUCAAGCUCUGCUUUCAUCGUUCCAUCUUCUACUGACUUUGACCUUCUUGCCUCCCUUGGACUUGUUUACAUGGGACCCAUGGGAAUAAUCCAUGGUCAAUGGGAAUAAUCUUCCCACCACAAGAUCCAUACUUUAAUCACACCAGCAAUGUCCAUUUUGCCAUAUCAGAAACACACUCUCCGGUACUAGGGAUUAAAACAUGAGCACCUUUGGCGAGUCAUUCCUCUGUCUACCACACCUGUGCAGCUGCGAGUAAUAAUACCCAGUCAUCCAUGAUAAAAGGGGCUUUGUUUUCUCACAUCACAGGAAGCUUGGUGGUAGGAAAGCCCCAGGGGUGAAUUUGAUGGCUCUACCCUGGGGACCCAGGUCCUUUGCAUCUUUCUGCUCCACCAUCCGCCAUCCUUUCUCUAUAUGUAAUCGUUACCUUUUUUUUUUUAACUUGUCUUCUACCAGUUGUAAGAUGGAUGCUGCAGCUCCAAGCACCACCCUGUGCAAAGCAGAAGAGGAG